UACGAAGGGUGCAAGCGUUACUCGGAAUUACUGGGCGUAAAGCGUGCGUAGGUGGUUUGUUAAGUCUGUUGUGAAAGCCCCGGGCUCAACCUGGGAAUGGCAAUGGAUACUGGCAAGCUAGAGUGCGGUAGAGGGUAGUGGAAUUCCCGGUGUAGCGGUGAAAUGCGUAGAGAUCGGGAGGAACACCAGUGGCGAAGGCGGCUACUUGGACCAGCACUGACACUGAGGCACGAAAGCGUGGGGAGCAAACAGG
RNAcentral lists this ribosomal RNA (253 nucleotides) under uncultured bacterium. RNAcentral describes it as "partial 16S ribosomal RNA". It matches the Rfam family "Bacterial small subunit ribosomal RNA", at positions 524 to 776 of the family's 1533-position model. The record is from RNAcentral.